UACCCUGUUAUUCUAAACUCUUAAAAUAAUUCAAAGAAAACAAACUAAAUAAAUUUGGCAGUAUUAUUUUAUACAAAGGAUUUUGUUUUAAAAUCGAAAACACACGAAACACCUCACUUAAACAAUUUCUGUAUACCUCCGUUUAUGAAAUUAUACAAAAUAUAAAUCUCAAAAAAGAUCUUUAUCUUUUAAAUCAGGUCAAGGUGCAAUUUUAUUAAGAUAAAAUGAAAUACACUAAUCAAUUAUUAAUAAAUUCUUCUGAAAAAAGAAUAAAAUAGAAUUUGUAAGUAAAAAAAAAUCAUCAUGUUUUUUUGAAUAUCAUAACUAAUAUG
Molecule: ribosomal RNA, 332 nt
Filed under: Epiperipatus sp. MZUSP 0018
Lineage: Eukaryota; Metazoa; Onychophora; Udeonychophora; Euonychophora; Peripatidae
Description: partial 12S ribosomal RNA
Source: RNAcentral